GUAAGUUAUUAAGGGCACACGGUGGAUGCCUUGGCAUUAAGAGCCGAUGAAGGACGUGUGAAUCUGCGAUAAGCCUCGGGGAGCCGAUAACUGGGCUGUGAUCCGAGGAUUUCCGAAUGGGGAAACCUGGCUCAUCUUCAUGGUGAGUUACCGCCAGCUGAAUGUAUAGGCUGGUUGGGGGGAACGCGGGGAAGUGAAACAUCUCAGUACCCGCAGGAAGAGAAAAUAAAGUAAUGAUUCUGUGAGUAGUGGCGAGCGAAAGCGGAAGAGACUAAACCUGUGGUGUGUGAUAGCGGUUAGGCGUUGCAUCAUGGGGGUUGUGGGAGUCACAGUGGCAGUUCUAACUGGCUGCCGGCAUGAUGUUCAGGAUGGUAGGUGAACGACUUGGAAUGGUCGGCCGUAGAGGGUGAGAGUCCCGUAAUCGAAAUUGUUCUGUCCGUGGUGUGGCCACCCGAGUAGCACGGGGCUCGUGGAAUCUCGUGUGAAUCUGCCAGGACCACCUGGUAAGUCUAAAUACUUCUUAAUGACCGAUAGUGAAUCAGUACCGUGAGGGAAUGGUGAAAAGUACCCCGGGAGGGGAGUGAAAUAGUACCUGAAACCGUGUGCUUACAAGCCGUUGGAGCCUUUUGGGGUGACAGCGUGCCUUUUGAAGAAUGAGCCUGCGAGUUAGUGUUAUGUCGCGAGGUUAACCCGUGUGGGGUAUCCGUAGCGAAAGCGAGUCUGAAUAGGGCGUUUGAGUGGCAUGACCUAGACCCGAAGCGGAGUGAUCUAUCCAUGGCCAGGUUGAAGCGACGGUAAGACGUCGUGGAGGACCGAACCCACUUCAGUUGAAAAUGGAGGGGAUGAGCUGUGGAUAGGGGUGAAAGGCCAAUCAAACUCUGUGAUAGCUGGUUCUCCCCGAAAUGCAUUUAGGUGCAGCGUUACGUGUUUCUUGCCGGAGGUAGAGCUACUGGAUGGCCGAUGGGCCUUCACGGGUUACUGACGUCAGCUAAACUCCGAAUGCCGGUAAGUGAGAGCGUAGCAGUGAGACAGUGGGGGAUAAGCUUCAUUGUCGAGAGGGAAACAGCCCAGACCAUCAACUAAGGCCCCUAAGCGUGUGCUAAGUGGGAAAGGAUGUGGAGUUGCUGAGACAACCAGGAGGUUGGCUUAGAAGCAGCCAUCCUUGAAAGAGUGCGUAAUAGCUCACUGGUCAAGUGAUUCUGCGCCGAUAAUGUAGCGGGGCUCAAGUACACCGCCGAAGUUGUGGCAAUGACCUUUUUUGGUUGUUGGGUAGGGGAGCGUCGUGUAGCCGGUGAAGCUGCGGUGUAAACCAGUGGUGGAGGCUAUGCGAGUGAGAAUGCAGGCAUGAGUAGCGAAAGAUGAGUGAGAAACUCAUCCGCCGGAUGAUCAAGGGUUCCAGGGUCAAGUUAAUCUGCCCUGGGUUAGUCGGGGCCUAAGGCGAGGCCGACAGGCGUAGUCGAUGGAUAACGGGUUGAUAUUCCCGUACCGGUGAAAAACCGCCCAUACUGAUAUUGUGAUGCUAACCAUGCGAAGCAUGAUGUGCAGGCUUUUGUUUGUGUGUUGUGUGGGUUGUGGGACCCGAUCUUUGGAGGUAAACGUAUUAACAGGUGUGACGCAGGAAGGUAGCCAAGCCACGCGAUGGUUGUCGUGGUCUAAGCGUGUAGGGUUGUCGGUUGUUAAAUGCGCCGGCUGUGUGCCUGAGACGUGAUGGGACCCCGUUUUUGGGGGAUUUGGUGAUCCUAUGCUGCCGAGAAAAGCAUCGGCGUGAGGUUUUAGCCGCCCGUACCCUAAACCGACACAGGUGAUCAGGUAGAGAAUACUAAGGCGAUCGAGAGAAUCAUGGUUAAGGAACUCGGCAAAAUGCCCCCGUAACUUCGGGAGAAGGGGGGCCCUGAGCGUGAUCUGCCCGUGCGGUGGGGAGCGUGUAGGGGUCGCAGAGACCAGGGGGAAGCGACUGUUUAUCAAAAACACAGGUCCGUGCGAAGUCGUAAGACGAUGUAUACGGACUGACUCCUGCCCGGUGCUGGAAGGUUAAGAGGAUUGGUUAGCCCUUUUGGGCGAAGCUGAGAAUUUAAGCCCCAGUAAACGGCGGUGGUAACUAUAACCAUCCUAAGGUAGCGAAAUUCCUUGUCGGGUAAGUUCCGACCUGCACGAAUGG
RNAcentral lists this ribosomal RNA (2158 nucleotides) under human metagenome. RNAcentral describes it as "bacterial LSU rRNA". It matches the Rfam family "Bacterial large subunit ribosomal RNA", at positions 1 to 1999 of the family's 2925-position model. The record is from RNAcentral.